This 134-nucleotide ribosomal RNA is filed under the name Salinivibrio sp. IB872. Its description in RNAcentral is "partial 23S ribosomal RNA". It matches the Rfam family "Bacterial large subunit ribosomal RNA", at positions 2808 to 2925 of the family's 2925-position model. The record is from RNAcentral. Lineage: Bacteria; Pseudomonadati; Pseudomonadota; Gammaproteobacteria; Vibrionales; Vibrionaceae.
UCAUCCCUAGAGCUUCGAGCUCUCUAAAGGGUUGUCGUAGACUACGACGUUGAUAGGCAGGGUGUGUAAGCGCUGUGAGGCGUUGAGCUAACCUGUACUAAUUGCCCGUGAGGCUUAACCAUACAACACCCAAG